ACAUUGUACCGCUGUGGCCUGGGGCUGUCCAUGAUGCCAGAAUCUUAAGGCAAAGUGGCCUAUUUCAAAUCAUGGAGCAGAAUGUUGUCGAUGACCAACAUCAAUAUCUACUUGGGGAUUCGGGAUAUCCGUGCAAGAGAUGGCUCCUCACUCCAUUUAUGAAUCCAGCUGAUGAGCACCAGCUGAUUUACAACCGGGCACACAAACGUACGAGAUCUGUUGUUGAGCGCUCCAUAGGGAUUUUGAAAAGGAGAUGGGCGAUUCUGCACAAUGAAAUUAGAUUGCAUCCAUUAAAGUCAUGCAAGGUGAUUUUGGACAUAGAUGCCUUACCAGAUCAUCCUGAAAAUUACCAUGGAAAUGAAGAUGGCCUUCGUUACAGGAAUGUAGUAGCAAAUACAUUUUUUUAGAUCAUAGGUGUCGUGAUCUGAGAAAACUAGGCAUAAUGCAUGUGCGUAAAGUGUCAUCCCAGAUUAGCCCAGAUAUUGCAGUCCACACAGAAUAAUCAGGGACUACACUUUACGCCUAAAUUGGAUUUUUGCUAAGAAGAGACUUCAUUUAAACGAAAAAUGUAAAAGCGAGUGUGUGGACUGCACAGUCUUAUCUGUGACGUCACUUGACCCACAUGCAUUAUGCCCAGUUUUCUCAGAACGCAACUCAUAUUCACAUUGAAUAAGUCAUGUUUUCAGACCUGUUAAUUCAAAUGACUUGCAUUUUUAAUUGAAA
Molecule: long non-coding RNA, 723 nt
Organism: Dreissena polymorpha
Lineage: Eukaryota; Metazoa; Mollusca; Bivalvia; Myida; Dreissenidae
Exons: 3
Source: RefSeq, a predicted model, not a curated record